UCAGAACUAACGCUGGCGGCGCGUCUAAAGCAUGCAAGUCGAACGUGAAAGUUCCUUCGGGAGCGAGUAAAGUGGCGAACGGGUGAGUAACGCGUGGGUCAUCUACCAUGGAGAUGGGGAUAACGUCGAGAAAUCGGCGCUAAUACCGAAUACGUCCGAAAGGAGAAACGGUGCGUUUGCAUCGCUCUGUGAUGAGCCCGCGUCCUAUUAGCUUGUUGGUGAGGUAACGGCCCACCCAANGGGCGACGAUGGGUAGCCGACCUGAGAGGGUGAUCGGCCACAUCGGGACUGAGACACGGCCCGGACUCCUACGGGAGGCAGCAGCUAAGAAUCUUCCGCAAUGGGCGAAAGCCUGACGGAGCGACGCCGCGUGGACGAAGAAGGCCUUAUCGGUUGUAAAGUCCUUGUCAGGCGUGGAAGAAUAAGUAGAGAGGAAAUGCUCUACGAUGACGGUACACCCAGAGGAAGCCCCCGGCUAAUUCCGUGCCAGCAGCCGCGGUAAUACGGAAGGGGCAAGCGUUGUUCGGAUUCAUUGGGCGUAAAGCGCAUGCAGGCGGUUUACUAAGUCUAGUGUGAAAUCCUGCAGCUCAACUGCAGAACUGCGCUGGAUACUGGUAAACUAGAGUCAGGGAGAGGAAGAUGGAAUUCCUGGUGUAGGGGUGAAAUCUGUAGAUAUCAGGAAGAACACCGGUGGCGAAGGCGAUCUUCUGGCCUAUGACUGACGCUCAGAUGCGAAAGCUAGGGGAGCGAACGGGAUUAGAUACCCCGGUAGUCCUAGCCGUAAACGUUGUUGACUAGGUGUUGGCAGUAUCGACCCUGUUAGUGCCGAAGCAAACGCAUUAAGUCAACCGCCUGGGGAGUAUGCCCGCAAGGGUGAAACUCAAAGGAAUUGACGGGGGCCCGCACAAGUGGUGGAGUAUGUGGCUUAAUUCGACGCUACGCGAAGAACCUUACCAGGGUUUGACAUGCAUCGGCUCGCCUGUGAAAGCAGGUUUUCCCUUCGGGGACUGAUGCACAGGUGCUGCAUGGCUGUCGUCAGCUCGUGUCGUGAGAUGUUGGGUUAAGUCCCGCAACGAGCGCAACCCCUAUUCUUUGUUGCCAUCGGUUCGGCCGGGCACUCGAAGGAAACUGCCGGUGACAAACCGGAGGAAGGUGGGGAUGACGUCAAGUCCUCAUGGCCCUUACGCCCUGGGCUGCACACGUACUACAAUGGCCGGUACAAAGAGGACCGAUACCGCGAGGUGGAGGCAAUCUCAAAAAACCGGCCCCAGUUCGGAUUGGAGUCUGCAACUCGACUCCAUGAAGUCGGAAUCACUAGUAAUCGUGGAUCAGCAUGCCACGGUGAAUGCGUUCCCGGGCCUUGUACACACCGCCCGUCACACCACGAAAGCGGAUUAUACCCGAAGUCGGUGCGCUAACCCUCUGGGAGGCAGCCGCCGAAGGUA
Molecule: ribosomal RNA, 1445 nt
Filed under: uncultured organism
Description: bacterial SSU rRNA
Rfam family: Bacterial small subunit ribosomal RNA
Source: RNAcentral